CCCUUUACUACGGAAUAACGCAUGGAAACGUGUGCUAAUACCGUAUGUGCCCUUUGGGGGAAAGAUUUAUCGGUAAAGGAUCGGCCCGCGUUGGAUUAGCUAGUUGGUGGGGUAAAGGCCUACCAAGGCGACGAUCCAUAGCUGGUCUGAGAGGAUGAUCAGCCACAUUGGGACUGAGACACGGCCCAAACUCCUACGGGAGGCAGCAGUGGGGAAUAUUGGACAAUGGGCGCAAGCCUGAUCCAGCCAUGCCGCGUGAGUGAUGAAGGCCCUAGGGUUGUAAAGCUCUUUCACCGGUGAAGAUAAUGACGGUAACCGGAGAAGAAGCCCCGGCUAACUUCGUGCCAGCAGCCGCGGUAAUACGAAGGGGGCUAGCGUUGUUCGGAUUUACUGGGCGUAAAGCGCACGUAGGCGGAUCGAUCAGUCAGGGGUGAAAUCCCAGAGCUCAACUCUGGAACUGCCUUUGAUACUGUCGAUCUGGAGUAUGGAAGAGGUGAGUGGAAUUCCGAGUGUAGAGGUGAAAUUCGUAGAUAUUCGGAGGAACACCAGUGGCGAAGGCGGCUCACUGGUCCAUUACUGAC
This 581-nucleotide ribosomal RNA is filed under the name Rhizobium tibeticum. RNAcentral's name for it is "bacterial SSU rRNA". It matches the Rfam family "Bacterial small subunit ribosomal RNA", at positions 129 to 744 of the family's 1533-position model. The record is from RNAcentral. Lineage: Bacteria; Pseudomonadati; Pseudomonadota; Alphaproteobacteria; Hyphomicrobiales; Rhizobiaceae.